AUUGAACGCUGGCGGCAUGCCUUACACAUGCAAGUCGAACGGCAGCGCGUCCUUCGGGAUGGCGGCGAGUGGCGAACGGGUGAGUAAUACAUCGGAACGUGCCCGAGAGUGGGGGAUAACGCAGCGAAAGCUGUGCUAAUACCGCAUACGAUCUCAGGAUGAAAGCAGGGGACCGCAAGGCCUUGCGCUCACGGAGCGGCCGAUGGCAGAUUAGGUAGUUGGUGGGAUAAAAGCUUACCAAGCCGACGAUCUGUAGCUGGUCUGAGAGGACGACCAGCCACACUGGGACUGAGACACGGCCCAGACUCCUACGGGAGGCAGCAGUGGGGAAUUUUGGACAAUGGGGGGAACCCUGAUCCAGCCAUGCCGCGUGCAGGAUGAAGGCCUUCGGGUUGUAAACUGCUUUUGUACGGAACGAAAAGGUCUUUUCUAAUAAAGAAGGCUGAUGACGGUACCGUAAGAAUAAGCACCGGCUAACUACGUG
This 484-nucleotide ribosomal RNA is filed under the name uncultured bacterium. RNAcentral's name for it is "bacterial SSU rRNA". It matches the Rfam family "Bacterial small subunit ribosomal RNA", at positions 30 to 507 of the family's 1533-position model. The record is from RNAcentral.